Molecule: ribosomal RNA, 253 nt
Filed under: uncultured microorganism
Description: partial 16S ribosomal RNA
Rfam family: Bacterial small subunit ribosomal RNA
Source: RNAcentral
UACGUAGGGUGCAAGCGUUAAUCGGAAUUACUGGGCGUAAAGCGUGCGCAGGCGGUUCGGAAAGACAGAUGUGAAAUCCCAGAGCUUAACUUUGGAACUGCAUUUUUAACUACCGAGCUAGAGUGUGUCAGAGGGAGGUGGAAUUCCGCGUGUAGCAGUGAAAUGCGUAGAUAUGCGGAGGAACACCGAUGGCGAAGGCAGCCUCCUGGGAUAACACUGACGCUCAUGCACGAAAGCGUGGGGAGCAAACAGG